This 476-nucleotide unclassified non-coding RNA is filed under the name Hevea brasiliensis (rubber tree). Lineage: Eukaryota; Viridiplantae; Streptophyta; Magnoliopsida; Malpighiales; Euphorbiaceae. The record is from RNAcentral.
GUUUAACUGCCAGAAGCUGAAAUUGCCAAUGGGAUGCGGAUAUGAGUUCCAAAUGCAAUACGGAUCAAUUGGUUGGUCAGUAGGGGCAACUCUUGGAUAUGCUCAGUCUGUGCCGGAGAAACGCGUGAUUGCUUGUAUUGGUGAUGGUAGCUUUCAGGUGACUGCUCAAGAUGUGUCAACAAUGCUGCGAUGCGGACAUGGACAGAACAGCAUCAUUUUCUUGAUCAAUAAUGGUGGAUAUACCAUUGAAGUCGAGAUCCAUGAUGGCCCGUACAACGUGAUAAAAAACUGGAACUACACUGGCUUGAUUGACGCUAUCCACAAUGGUGAAGGCAAGUGCUGGACAGCCAAGGUCCAAUGUGAGGAGGAGUUAAUUGAAGCAAUUGAGAAUGCAACGGGGCCAAAGAAAGAUUGCUUGUGCUUCAUCGAGGUCAUUGUUCACAAGGAUGACACUAGCAAAGAACUCUUGGAAUGGG